GAGAGAGAGAGAGCAUACCGCACGGGAGAGAGGGAGCGCAUGAACGGACAAGAUCUGGUGGACGCUGAUGAGGACGAUGAUGGUGGAUUCGAGGUAACAGUGAGGGUCUACAAGCGAGAGGAACACCGGCCACCUGAUCUAGGGUUUCUGGAAGGGUUGGUUGUCUGGCAAGAGUUCCAGCAACUCCGAUGAAGUUAUGCAUUUUUCCAAAUUGGUCAUGUCUUGUAUAUGUUAAGAGGAAAAGUGAAUGAACAGUUAUCAGUUUAUUUGGUAUUUGACAUCAUAUCCCUUGCUUUCAACAAUGGGCGAUGGGGCGAUCUACAGUUGCUUGCUUGGUUAAAAAUGUAAGAUGAUGAUGGUGAAGGUUCUGGUGCUUAAGGGUUCUGCUGUGACAGAGGAAGGGAAAUGAACAGUAGAGGGGUAAUUGGGUAAAAUCAACAGAAGAGGAUUUGUGUGUUGGUUCCAUUUUGGUGUUACUACAACUACAUGCGGUGGCUAGAUUUUAUAAGUGUGCUAGACAGUGAAGUUUGGUGGUAGGGCUUACAAACCAGAUCGGCACAUGCAUGUUCAAUAUCCGGUGAAGUUUCCAACAAUUCGAUCUGAUCCAAAGUUAGGGAGUGGAUAGACGUAAGUGUAAAUUCUCCUCGGAUGUCAAGAGAAACUACAUACAAAAUGUCACUAAACGAUGUCAUACUCAGUUGUUCAAGGCAAGUAUUUUGAUUGUAUGUUAAAUAACAUCAUUAUUAGUAAUUAAUUUUGA
Long non-coding RNA from Helianthus annuus (common sunflower), 760 nucleotides. RefSeq lists it as uncharacterized. Lineage: Eukaryota; Viridiplantae; Streptophyta; Magnoliopsida; Asterales; Asteraceae. The transcript has 3 exons. The record is from RefSeq and is a predicted model, not a curated record.